GACGAACGCUGGCGGCGUGCUUAACACAUGCAAGUCGAACGGAAAGGCCCUGCUUUUGUGGGGUGCUCGAGUGGCGAACAGGUGAGUAACACGUGAGUAACCUGCCCUUGACUUUGGGAUAACUUCAGGAAACUGGGGCUAAUACCGGAUAGGAGCUCCUGCUGCAUGGUGGGGGUUGGAAAGUUUCGGCGGUUGGGGAUGGACUCGCGGCUUAUCAGCUUGUUGGUGGGGUAGUGGCUUACCAAGGCUUUGACGGGUAGCCGGCCUGAGAGGGUGACCGGCCACAUUGGGACUGAGAUACGGCCCAGACUCCUACGGGAGGCGGCAGUGGGGAAUAUUGCACAAUGGGCGGAAGCCUGAUGCAGCAACGCCGCGUGCGGGAUGACGGCCUUCGGGUUGUAAACCGCUUUCGCCUGUGACGAAGCGUGAGUGACGGUAAUGGGUAAAGAAGCACCGGCUAACUACGUG
RNAcentral lists this ribosomal RNA (468 nucleotides) under uncultured bacterium. Its description in RNAcentral is "partial 16S ribosomal RNA". It matches the Rfam family "Bacterial small subunit ribosomal RNA", at positions 28 to 507 of the family's 1533-position model. The record is from RNAcentral.